UCAAGCUACUAAGGGCAUACGGUGGAUGCCUAGGCGCCAGGAGCCGAAGAAGGACGCGGUAAGCUGCGAAAAGCCACGGGGAACUGCAAGCGAGUAUUGAUCCGUGGAUAUCCGAAUGGGGAAACCCGGCCAUCGUAAUGGAUGGUCAUCCGCAAGGAAGGGAACCCGGGGAACUGAAACAUCUAAGUACCCGGAGGAAAAGAAAUCAAACGAGAUGCCCACAGUAGCGGCGAGCGAAGAGGGCAGAGCCCAAACCUGUAAGCUACGGCUUAUGGGGGUUGAGGACUGACGUAAUUAAGGCCAGGCUUAGCUGAACUACCUGGGAAGGUAGGCGAUAGAAGGUAAGAGCCCUGUAAGCGAAAGGCAGAGCCUUAAGGUCAGUAUCCAGAGUACCACGGAGCACGAGGAAUUCUGUGGGAAGCAGGGGGGACCACCCUCCAAGGCUAAAGACUAACUGGCGACCGAUAGCGCAUAGUACCGUGAGGGAAAGGUGAAAAGAACCCCGGGAGGGGAGUGAAAUAGUACCUGAAACCGUAUGUCUACAAGCAGUCGGAGCGAAAGCGACGGCGUGCCUAUUGAAGAAUGAACCAACGAGUUAUCUGCACUAGCGAGGUUAAGUGGAAGACACGGAGCCGUAGCGAAAGCGAGUCUGAAAAGGGCGACGAGUUAGUGUAGGUAGACCCGAAACCGCAGUGAUCUACCCAUGUCCAGGUUGAAGCGCAGGUAAAAAUGCGUGGAGGACCGAACCGGUGAGCGUUGAAAAGCUUUCGGAUGAGAUGUGGGUAGGGGUGAAAUUCCAAUCGAACGCGGAGAUAGCUGGUUCUCCCCGAAAUAGCUUUAGGGCUAGCCUCAGGUAGUAAGUAUAGGCGGUAGAGCACUGAUCGGGCUAGGGGCCAUAAAGGUUACCGAACCCUGUCAAACUCCGAAUGGAUAUACUGCAGAGCCUGGGAGUCAGACUACGAGUGAUAAGAUCCGUGGUCAAAAGGGAAACAGCCCAGACCACCGGCUAAGGUCCCAAAUGCCGUACUAAGUGGAAAAGGAUGUGGGGAUUCAUAAACAACCAGGAUGUUGGCUCAGAAGCAGCCACCAUUUAAAGAGUGCGUAAUAGCUCACUGGUCGAGAGUCCCUGCGCCGAAAAUUUCCGGGGCUAAAGUACGGAACCGAAGCCGUGGCUGUGUACUUAGGUGCACGGGGUAGGGGAGCGUUGCCACAGGGGUGAAGCUGGUCUGGAAGGACUGGUGGACUUGUGGGAAGUGAGAAUGUUGGUAUGAGUAGCGAAAAGAAAGGUGAGAAUCCUUUCCACCGAAAGCAUAAGGAUUCCUGAGCAACGAUCGUCGUCUCAGGGUAAGUCGGGACCUAAUCCGAGGCAAAGAGCGUAGGAGAUGGACAACAGGUUGAUAUUCCUGUACCGGCAGCAAUUGUUUGAGCGAAGGAGUGACACAGAAGGGCAGGCAGGCGCGAGACUGGAUUGUCGCGUGCAAGCGUGUAGGGUAGUGUACAGGCAAAUCCGUACACUGAGAGCCUGAGGCGUUACGCGGAGCGAGCAGAGAUGCGAGCGAAGCUGCUGAUCCCACACUGUCGAGAAAAGCUUCUAGUGAGAGAGCUGCCGCCCGUACCGUAAACCGACACAGGUAUGCGGGGAGAGAAUCCUAAGGUGCGCGGGAGAACCCUCGUUAAGGAACUCGGCAAAAUGUACCCGUAACUUCGGGAUAAGGGUAGCCGUCUUGGUGAAGGAACUAGCUUCUGGAGCUGAAGGCGGUCGCAGAGAAGAGGCCCAAGCGACUGUUUACCACAAACACAGGUGCCUGCUAAAGCGAAAGCUGACGUAUAGGUGCUGACACCUGCCCAGUGCUGGAAGGUUAAGGAAGGAUGUCCGGGCAACCAAAGCAUUCGACCGAAGCCCCAGUGAACGGCGGCCGUAACUAUAACGGUCCUAAGGUAGCGAAAUUCCUUGUCGGGUAAGUUCCGACCCGCACGAAAGGUGUAACGAUUUGGGCACUGUCUCAACGAGGGACCCGGUGAAAUUGAAAUACCUGUGAAGAUGCAGGUUACCCGCGACUGGACAGAAAGACCCCAUGGAGCUUUACUGUAACCUGACAUUGGGUUUUGUUGUAUUACGUACAGGAUAGGUGGGAGGCUUGGAAGGCUGGACGCUAGUCUGGCUGGAGCCGGCGUUGGGAUACCACCCUUGAUACAACGGAAUUCUAACCGAGAGAGUAACGAAAUCCGGGACAGUGUCAGGCGGGCAGUUUGACUGGGGCGGUCGC
This 2267-nucleotide ribosomal RNA is filed under the name human gut metagenome. RNAcentral's name for it is "bacterial LSU rRNA". It matches the Rfam family "Bacterial large subunit ribosomal RNA", at positions 3 to 2286 of the family's 2925-position model. The record is from RNAcentral.